This 431-nucleotide long non-coding RNA is filed under the name Salmo salar (Atlantic salmon). RNAcentral describes it as "lncRNA (ENSSSAG00000118823.1)". Lineage: Eukaryota; Metazoa; Chordata; Actinopteri; Salmoniformes; Salmonidae. The record is from RNAcentral.
GUCUGGUCGUGUUGGGGUGUCUGUCUGGUAGUUUUGGAGUGACUGUCUGAUAGUGUUGGGGUGUCUCUCUGGUCAUGUUGGUGUGUCUGUCUGGUAUGUUGGGGUGUCUGUCUGAUAGUGUUGGGGUGUCUGUCUGAUAGUGUUGGGGUGUCUGUCUGAUAGUGGUGGGCUGUCUGUCUGAUAGCGUUGUGGUAUCUGUCUGAUAGUGUUGGGGUGUCUGUCUGGUCGUGUUGGGGUGUCUGUCUGAUAGUGUUGGGGUAUCUGUCUGGUCGUGUUGGGGUAUCUGUCCGGUAGUGUUGGGAUGUCUGUCUCGUCGUGUUGGGGUGUCUGUCUAAUAGUGUUGGGGUGUCUGUCUGGUCGUGUUGGGGUGGCUGUCUGAUAGUGUUGGAGUGUCUGUCUGGUAGUGUUGAGGUGUCUGUCUGGUAGUGUUG